AUUGAACGCUGGCGGCAGGCCUAACACAUGCAAGUCGAGCGAGCGGCGGCCGGGUGAGUAAUGUCUGGGAAACUGCCUGAUGGAGGGGGAUAACUACUGGAAAAGGUAGCUAAUACCGCAUACGAUCAGCGAUGCCCAGAUGGGAUUAGCUAGUAGGUGGGGUAAUGACUCACCUAGGCGACGAGCCAUAGCUGGUAUGAGAGGGUGACCAGCCACACUGGAACUGAGACACGGUCCAGACUCCUACGUGAGGCGGCAGUGGGGAAUAUUGCACAAUGGGCGCAAGCCUGAUACAGCCAUACCGCGUGUAUUAAGAAGGCCUUCGGGUUGUAAAGUACUUUCAGCGAGGAGGCGUUACUCGCAGAAGAAGCACCGGCUAACUCCGUGCCAGCAGCCGCGGUAAUUC
This 406-nucleotide ribosomal RNA is filed under the name uncultured bacterium. Its description in RNAcentral is "partial 16S ribosomal RNA". It matches the Rfam family "Bacterial small subunit ribosomal RNA", at positions 30 to 526 of the family's 1533-position model. The record is from RNAcentral.